Molecule: non-coding RNA, 382 nt
Organism: Pelobates cultripes (western spadefoot toad)
Lineage: Eukaryota; Metazoa; Chordata; Amphibia; Anura; Pelobatidae
Source: the annotation of a GenBank genome assembly
CUGGCCAUGCAUCUCUCAGGAUCUGAAGCAGUACUGCCAGAUGUAUGCCAGAGAGUGGGGAAGAGAAGGAACCGGCACAGGGCCCCCCUCCAUACCCUACCUAUUAGUGAAGAUCCGUUCGCCUCCAUACCCUACCUAUUAGUGAAGAUCCGUUCGGCAGAGUAGCUGUCGACAAUAUAGUUGCACAGGCACUUUGACGUCCCCGUGGCGCCUUUGCAUUUGGAUGUCUACCCUAUCAACUUUCGAUGCCAGUUUCUGCGCUGACCAUGGGUAACGGGGAAUCAUGGUUAGAUUCCAGAGAGGGAACCUGAGAAACUGCUACCACAUCCAAGGAAGGCAGCAGGCGCGCAAAUUACCCACUCCUGACGCGGGGAGGUAGUGA